This 1287-nucleotide ribosomal RNA is filed under the name Mycoplasmopsis bovis. RNAcentral's name for it is "partial 23S ribosomal RNA". It matches the Rfam family "Bacterial large subunit ribosomal RNA", at positions 1618 to 2925 of the family's 2925-position model. Lineage: Bacteria; Bacillati; Mycoplasmatota; Mycoplasmoidales; Metamycoplasmataceae. The record is from RNAcentral.
UUCUAAACUUAAUUUUAUUGAAACCUGUACCAAGAACGGACACACGUCCCCAAGAUGAGUAUUCUAAGGCGAGCGAGAAAACUAGUGUUAAGGAACUCUGCAAAAUGACCCCGUAAGUUCGCAAGAAGGGGCGCCUAUGGUAACACAUAGGCCACAGUAAAUUAUGAGGGGCAACUGUUUAUCAAAAACACAACUCUCUGCUAAACCGCAAGGUGAUGUAUAGGGGGUGAAGCCUGCCCAGUGCCCGAAGGUUAAGUGGAUGCGUUAGCUUAUGCGAAGCGUUGAAAUGAAGCCCGGGUGAACGGCGGCCGUAACUAUAACGGUCCUAAGGUAGCGAAAUUCCUUGUCGGCUAAAUACUGACCUGCACGAAAGGCAUAAUGAUCUCUCAACUGUCUCAACACUAGACUCGGUGAAAUUAUGGUCCCAGUGAAAACGCUGGGUUCCCGCAUCAAGACGAAAAGACCCCAUGGAGCUUUACUAUAACUUCGUAUUGGAAUUUGGCCUAACAUGUGUAGGAUAGGUGGGAGACUUUGAAGCUGAGACGCCAGUAGCAGUGGAGUCAACCUUGAAAUACCACCCUUGUUAUGUUGAAUUUCUAACUUACCAUCAUAAUCAGGUGGGAGGACAGUGCGUGGUGGGUAGUUUGACUGGGGCGGUCGCCUCCUAAAGAGUAACGGAGGCGUUCAAAGGUACACUCAGUACGGUCAGAAACCGUAUGUAGAGCGCAAAGGCAGAAGUGUGCUUGACUGUGAGACAUACAAGUCGAGCAGGUGCGAAAGCAGGACUUAGUGAUCCGGCUGUACAUUGUGGAAUGGCAGUCGCUCAACGGAUAAAAGUUACCCUGGGGAUAACAGGCUAAUCUUGCCCAAGAGAUCACAUCGACGGCAAGGUUUGGCACCUCGAUGUCGGCUCAUCGCAUCCUGGAGCUGGAGUCGGUUCCAAGGGUUGGGCUGUUCGCCCAUUAAAGCGGUACGCGAGCUGGGUUCAAAACGUCGUGAGACAGUUUGGUCCCUAUCUGAUGUGGGCGUUGGAAUAUUGAUGAGAGCCGCUCUUAGUACGAGAGGACCGGAGUGGACGUACCGCUGGUGUUCCAGUUGUUCCGCCAGGAGCAUGGCUGGGUAGCUAAGUACGGAAAGGAUAACCGCUGAAAGCAUCUAAGUGGGAAGCCUCCUCAGAGAUUAGUAUUCCCUUGAAAUUCCUUAUAGACUAUGAGGUUGAUAGGCUGGAUGUGUAAGCACAGUAAUGUGUUGAGCUGACCAGUACUAAUAAAUUGAAAGGUUUAAAAG